GCGGGUGUGGCGAAACUGGUAGACGCACAGCACUCAAAAUGCUGCGACUUCGGUCGUGUCGGUUCGACCCCGACCACCCGCACCA
RNAcentral lists this transfer RNA (85 nucleotides) under Devosia sp. RNAcentral's name for it is "tRNA-Leu". It matches the Rfam family "tRNA". Rfam says of the family: Transfer RNA (tRNA) molecules are approximately 80 nucleotides in length. Lineage: Bacteria; Pseudomonadati; Pseudomonadota; Alphaproteobacteria; Hyphomicrobiales; Devosiaceae. The record is from RNAcentral.